Microcebus murinus (gray mouse lemur) is the source of this 1021-nucleotide non-coding RNA. Lineage: Eukaryota; Metazoa; Chordata; Mammalia; Primates; Cheirogaleidae. The record is from RefSeq and is a predicted model, not a curated record.
GGAUGCUGCGAGGAGCCCUGAACAGGACAGAGCAGGUUUUCCACCCCAAGGGACAGACGUUGGCUGGUAGCGUCUGUGUUCAUGGAAGAUUCCUUCUGACACUCUCUCCUUUUUUGUAACUGCUGCAAACUCAAGCACUGGGCCAACAUAAAUCAUCCAGGGAUGAGCGCUACACACGGGAAGGUUUUCCUUUGUUUGUUUUCAAAGGGAUUACAUCUCUAUUCUCUUGCCAUGUGCUGCUUCACCCCCUGUCUUUGAUUUCUUUCUCUCUGGAAAAGGCAUUUCGGCUCACAGGACUGGGACUUAUAAAGGACACCCAAGAACAUCACAGAUGGGCCAAGCCUGGACCUCUCGCGGUAACAUUCCUUACGACUCUCAUAAGAGCCUGGAGAUUUGGAACUGGUGGCAACUGGUGAAGUUUUCAGUGUUUGGGCAGAUGAACCGAGCUAGCACGGGCUGGCCCUUGCUGAAAUAUGUCUGUGAAGGCCGAGGCUUCCCGACAAGAGGAUGCGUGUUAUCUCCCUUGACCGACUCUGCAUUUCCUCAUCCGCAGAUGAAGGUGUUGGCGAGGUAACCGAUGAGGCCCCAGCUGUGACCCUCUGUGUCUGUGGACUGGAGAAUAAGACCCCAGGGUGCUUUUAUCUCUUGAGUCCUCUUCAUUUUCUAUGUCCAUUUCCUUGAAGCCAUCAGCUGGAGUUGAGGAAAAGUUUUAAAAAUGGCCCUGACUUGGUGGUGAUCAGGGAGCCCGAAAUGGCCUUUGCCCGUGUGGCGUGUCGAAGGCAGAGCAGCGCCUCCUGGAGGCCACACGGCGCCGCGAGACUCUGAGAUUCGGGUUGAAUCACAGGAAGUAGCCGUUCCUAGAAGUCACGUGUGGUCAAAUGCCGGCAGUUUCAUGAGGUUCCCACUAAGAAGGGAUCGAGCCUGGCCACCCGCCCCUACCCAGAGGCCCCCCUUUCAGCGCCAGCCCUGGAGCCCCUCGCCACAGCGGCCGCGUCCUGAGGCAGCGGGGACAUAAGCCUUG